RNAcentral lists this transfer RNA (72 nucleotides) under Camelus dromedarius (Arabian camel). It matches the Rfam family "tRNA". From Rfam's summary of the family: Transfer RNA (tRNA) molecules are approximately 80 nucleotides in length. Their secondary structure includes four short double-helical elements and three loops (D, anti-codon, and T loops). RNAcentral also lists the same sequence under 1 other name. Lineage: Eukaryota; Metazoa; Chordata; Mammalia; Artiodactyla; Camelidae. The record is from Rfam by way of RNAcentral.
GAGGGUAUAGCUCAGUGGUAGAGUGCGUGCUUAACAUGCACAAGGUCCUGGGUUCAAUCCCCAGGACCUCCA